This 488-nucleotide ribosomal RNA is filed under the name uncultured bacterium. RNAcentral describes it as "partial 16S ribosomal RNA". It matches the Rfam family "Bacterial small subunit ribosomal RNA", at positions 28 to 507 of the family's 1533-position model. The record is from RNAcentral.
GAUGAACGCUAGCGGCAGGCCUAAUACAUGCCAGUCGGACGGGAUCCAUUGAUAGCUUGCUAUCAAUGGUGAGAGUGGCGCACGGGUGCGUAACGCGUGAGCAACCUGCCUCCAUCAGGGGGAUAGCCUCUCGAAAGAGAGAUUAACACCGCAUAAUAUCAACAGUUCGCAUGUUCAGUUGAUUAAAUAUUUAUAGGAUGGAGAUGGGCUCGCGUGACAUUAGCUAGUUGGUAGGGUAACGGCUUACCAAGGCGACGAUGUCUAGGGGCUCUGAGAGGAGAAUCCCCCACACUGGUACUGAGACACGGACCAGACUCCUACGGGAGGCAGCAGUAAGGAAUAUUGGUCAAUGGGCGGAAGCCUGAACCAGCCAUGCCGCGUGCAGGAUGACUGCCCUAUGGGUUGUAAACUGCUUUUGUCCAGGGAUAAACCUAAAUACGAGUAUUUAGCUGAAUGUACUGGAAGAAUAAGGAUCGGCUAACUCCGUG